This is an RNA transcript of Brienomyrus brachyistius, 3095 nucleotides long. It is a transcript of the gene named proton activated chloride channel 1, with no coding region annotated. Lineage: Eukaryota; Metazoa; Chordata; Actinopteri; Osteoglossiformes; Mormyridae. The transcript is spliced from 10 exons. The record is from RefSeq and is a predicted model, not a curated record.
UGUCCCUGCCGGAUCAUCUGCCUCCCCGGUAACUACUGCAUGGAGCUAUUUCUAUGCAUUGGGACUCGUUUUUAAUGGUCAUCAAAUGAGCAGGAGGAAAAAGCUGGUGCCCAUAAAAAGUCCAUAAUAAUCAGCCGAUUCUCGGGAUGACAAGGGAAAACUGUCGGACUUACCAAAAAUUCAGCGAUGAUGCUCGACAGUGUCCAAGUGUCUGCCAAGAGAAUGGCAAGAGCGACCAGAUUCUUGAUGAUGGCGAUGACAGCGAUUUACCAGGUGUGGAAGACGACACAGGAAGCAUCUCGAUAGGGUUCAACAGGGCCUGUCUGAAGAAUGUCUUUACUGUUCUUCUUAUCCUAAUAUACGUCCUGCUGACAGCCGUGGCACUCUUCCUCGCAUACCAGACCAUCUCUGACUUCAGAGAGAAGCUUAGCCACCCGGUGAUGUCAGUAACUUUCAAAGAAGUGGACGAGUACGAUGCAGUAGGUAUCGCCCUGUAUCUGGGGAAGGCCACAUUGCUGAGUUGCCAGCACCACCUGCAUGACCACAUCCCAGCUCUGGUAUCACCAGGAAACCCUGGGGAUGGGGGCUGCGUGAUGGAAUCGGUCUCCUACAUGGAUCCUUACUCCAACCAGACCAGGGAAGUGACUGUGGUUCAGGGGCCAACCGACAUCAGGAAUCGCGAGCUGAUUUUCCUGCAGUUUAGCCAGAAUGAAACAGAAGAAGACUUCAGCUCCAUCACUUAUAUGCUCUUCUACAAAUUCGCCGACUUGACUGCAAGCUCAGAUAAAGCAGAGUUUAUGAAAGAAUGUGUGAGGAAUUACUCCAUGUGGACCUUCUCGGGAGGCUUUCGAACUUGGGUGAAGAUGUCCUUGAUAAGGACGUCCGGAAGAGGGAAAGAGUCCGUGGAAUUCCGGCAAGAGUCCAGUGUGGUAAAGUACAAUGACAAGAGGCCCGAGUCGGAGAGGACCAAUCAGCUGUUUUUUGUUGUUUUUGAGUGGCGUGACGUGUUCAUCCAGGAAGUUAGGGACAUUGUGACGGCGAACGCUUGGAGCAGCGUCGCGAUUCUCUGCGGCGUCUUCAUGGCCCUCUUCAAGGUGGCGAAUUUCGCCAAGCUCAGCGUCAAGUGGAUUAUGAAAAUCCGCAAGGCACACCUGAGAAGGAGAGCCAAGGAAAUGGCACAGGUUACCUGAAGGGCUUUCUGGAGAUGCUGCGGAAAGGUCACAGACUUCUCAGGGAACCCAGACAUGCCAGUAAUCAUGCCAACCUCUUACAGAUCAUUGAUAAGAUGAUAACUGAGUCAACCAGCAGCGUACAGCAGAGAUAUAGAUGAUUAAAGUCAGAUUUUUGAAGGUUCUUUUUUGUAGAAUGUAAAAGAGUGCUAGCGUGUCUUGCUGUGUUUUAGUCAGUAAAAAUCAAUUUAAAAAUUAAUUCUGCUAUAUAAUGCAUUUAGUAUUCAUCUAAGCAUGACAGUAUUAAUUCAUGUCUUGUUGUUCCUGGAUGACUACUUUAUCAUCCAAGAAGGCCAAUUAUGUGUAUAUAUUUAUGUUUGAUUGCUUUUUAUUGUUUUUUACACACUGUGUUAUGCUAUUGUGCAAAUGGCCUGUUGGAAUUCUUUCAUGAUGUCUUUCCUUUUAGGGAGUCUUACUUUGCAAGGUUUUGCAAUGACAGUUACUCAUCUACAUCAUCCAUGAGUAUUUCAUUGUUACUCCACCUGAAUAUCAAAGCUGCCGCCAUCGUUGAAUUUUCUCCCACAAUUAUGUUGUGCCACAUUACUAAACCACUUGUGUAAAUAAUAACAAAGCUGUCAUUAUGGGACGCGAGGUAGAUUCGUCUGCAGAAGUGAAGAGAGUAUGAAAUUUCUUGCAGAGGUCAUGUGGCAAAUCCAGAUCCAGCCAGUAAAAGGUCACACAAGGGGAAAAUGAAAGGUGUUUCACAAUGUAAACACCCCCUCAUUAAAAAUGUGCUGAGGUCACAGCCUUUAGCCAACAGCAAAGGGGUAUUUGACAAGGAUGGUGCCAACAACGACUCAGGACUCCACCUAGAAUGAUACGCAAAUCAGAUUUUCAACCUCUGUUGAAGAGCAGCAAGAAAGUAAAGCACAUGAAAGGAGCCAAGAAAUAUUUGUAGUUGGACUUGUAAUCCACCAAUGAGUCCCAGGCAGCUCUAACUUAACCUGAAGAAUGGAGCAAAGGUCAGGUCAGAAACGAAAGUCCUGGUCUUGGAGAUGCCAGCAUGGAGGAGAUGGUGUGAUGUUUUGGGCUGGUGGUGAUCUGCCUGCUCUGGUUUCUUCAUGGUGCAAAGUUGACUGCAGUGCUCAAAAGUAAGCCUCUGGCACUAAAGCAAAAGAUAUUCAUGCAUGACAAAGUUCCAUCACAUUCUGCCAAGAAGACAAGAGAUGUUGGCGACAGUGGCCUUAAAUAUGGCCAACUAGUGGAGUGAACAGCAUCUUCGCUCGAUUUCAGUCCCUCCGAGAAGCAGAGGAGCAUCAUUAACAUUUUGACCACUUAUUUGUGAUAUAUAAAUAAUGCAAAUUUGAUGCAUUUUUUAGUAGUAUAUACUCAUUCAUUUUUGAGAUAGUGGAUAAUUCAUAAUUUGCAUUAUAGCGAGAUGCAGCGUGUAUAGAACAAUGAAAUUCUUGCAGCUUUUAGCCUAUUCAGUCUUAGAAAGGCAGUGCUAGGAGUUAUAUUUUUAAUUAUGUAUUAGGUUUGUUAAAAUAAAUUGUUUAACAUUUUUGAUUUUGAUUUUUUCUGCCAUUUGAUUGAUAGCUCGCUAGGCCCCGAGACCAGCUGUUGAACAGCAGUGUAUUUACAGUGUGUGCGUGUAUUCAAAUGAUCGUGCAAUUGCAACUUUUGUAGAUUUAAACAAGUGGCAGCGAGAAAGUGCCGCAGGUCCAGUGUUCUGUGGUAUUUCACUUGAAACUUUCACCACUGAAAUGGCAGUUAUAUCCUCCUGAGGCUAAAGCAGGAGAAACUAGCGGUGGCAGCGAUAAAUCAAGAGAGAGGGAGCGGAGGCAAGACGGAGAGCGGCGUGUCACGUUAAGGGAGAAAUCUCCACUGGUGACGUUCAUGAGACAAUCCUGGGAAAGGCGGAGAUUG